Molecule: long non-coding RNA, 537 nt
Organism: Eleginops maclovinus (Patagonian blennie)
Lineage: Eukaryota; Metazoa; Chordata; Actinopteri; Perciformes; Eleginopidae
Exons: 3
Source: RefSeq, a predicted model, not a curated record
CAGGCUGCAAACAAGAGCUGUAUUUUUGGAGCUCUCGCAGUCUCACUCUCGUCUAAUUUGUCUGAUCAUGACCGGUUUGCCGCAUGCAUAAUAAACAAAGGCAUAAAAAAGCCUCUCUGGCUUCAAAGAUGUCUGAAAGUUGAUUUGAGCAGACAGUUUUUUUCUUCUGUAUAUGCAAUUAUCAUGACUGACCUCCAGGAAACCGAUGACCACCACUUCGGCAGAGUCGAUGAAGGCCUCGACAGAUUUUGUGUCAGUCAGUCUGGGGAGGGCACUUUCUGAGAAAGAAAGACAGGAGACACUCAAUUUAAGCUCGUUAACAUUGGCUAACAAGAACUCCUGUAUAUACAAGUGAACUCCUCUUCUUCUCAGUAACCAGCAGCUGCCCAUCAUGUUUCAAACUGAAAACAACCUGUGACCUCAAGGAAAAACCAGACUGCUCUGGUCGCCUCUGACUGAUAAUCUCCUUUUAAGAUGAUUCGGCACAUGGGCAGACCAACAACAACAACAACAACAACAACAACAACAACAACACAA